GGGAUCUGGCAUCCUACCUGAUCCGAGGUCACCUUUAAAAAUUGGGGGGUUUAGCGGCUGGAGCACGCCGGGACGAUCCGAACGAGGUUCGCGUUUUACCGCGUUUUACUGCGCUCAGUGUACCGACGAGCCCGCCGAUGAACUUGGGGGCCCCGGGCCGCGCAGGCCCCGGGCCCCCCCCCCCCAAGCCGAGGCCUGGGGGUCGGGGAUCCCCCCAAACGCGCUCCCCACCAGCACCGCGCCCAGCCACCGUGUCCCCCAAGCCCCAACACCUCCCUCUCACCCACCACGCGGCGCCGUCGCGGCGGGGCCCCCCCUCCCCCGGCAGCCAAAACUCCUCUUACCCACCUAACACUCUCCGUCUCCCCGGGCGAGGCGCCGCCGGCCACCCACAACCCCCCCUGCCCCACCCGCAGCUGCCUCCGCACUCACAACACCUAAAAGCCGACCUCGCACAAAAAAUGAUCCUCCGCCCCAAAACAGCACAACAAACGCCGCCGGAAGGAUCAUUACUGAGUUGAAAAACUCCACCCUGUGAACAUACCUCUGUCGUUGCUUCGGCGGGCACGCCCGCCGGAGGUUCAAAACUCUUAUUUUUUCCAGUAUCUCUGAGCCUGAAAGACAAAUAAUCAAAACUUUCAACAACGGAUCUCUUGGUUCUGGCAUCGAUGAAGAACGCAGCGAAAUGCGAUAAGUAAUGGUGAAUUGCAGAAAUUCCUGGAAUCACCAAUCUUGGAAGCCAUUGCGCCCGCCGGUAUUCCGGCGGGCAUGCCGGUUCAGCGUCUUUCCCCCGCCCGCUGGUGGUUGGGGGGGCCCCCGGCCCCC
RNAcentral lists this unclassified non-coding RNA (825 nucleotides) under Pyricularia oryzae. RNAcentral describes it as "sequence contains ITS1, 5.8S rRNA gene, ITS2". The stretch from base 634 to 785 matches the Rfam family "5.8S ribosomal RNA". The record is from RNAcentral. Lineage: Eukaryota; Fungi; Ascomycota; Sordariomycetes; Magnaporthales; Pyriculariaceae.